ACUCCUACGGGAGGCAGCAGUAGGGAAUCUUCCGCAAUGGACGCAAGUCUGACGGAGCAACGCCGCGUGAGCGAAGAAGGUUUUCGGAUCGUAAAGCUCUGUUGCCGGAGAAGAACGGGCGGGUGAGGCAAUGCACCCGUCGUGACGGUAACCGGCCAGAAAGCCACGGCUAACUACGUGCCAGCAGCCGCGGUAAUACGUAGGUGGCAAGCGUUGUCCGGAAUUAUUGGGCGUAAAGCGCGCGCAGGCGGCCCCUUAAGUCUGAUGUGAAAGACUGCGGCUUAACCGCAGAGGGGCAUUGGAAACUGAGGGGCUUGAGUGCAGAAGAGGAGAGCAGAAUUCCACGUGUAGCGGUGAAAUGCGUAGAGAUGUGGAGGAAUACCGGUGGCGAAGGCGGCUCUCUGGUCUGUGACUGACGCUGAGGAGCGAAAGCGUGGGGAGCGAACAGGAUUAGAUACCCUGGUAGUC
This 468-nucleotide ribosomal RNA is filed under the name uncultured bacterium. Its description in RNAcentral is "bacterial SSU rRNA". It matches the Rfam family "Bacterial small subunit ribosomal RNA", at positions 335 to 795 of the family's 1533-position model. The record is from RNAcentral.